RNAcentral lists this transfer RNA (73 nucleotides) under Aeriscardovia sp. RNAcentral describes it as "tRNA-Cys". It matches the Rfam family "tRNA". Rfam says of the family: Transfer RNA (tRNA) molecules are approximately 80 nucleotides in length. Their secondary structure includes four short double-helical elements and three loops (D, anti-codon, and T loops). Further hydrogen bonds mediate the characteristic L-shaped molecular structure. tRNAs have two regions of fundamental functional importance: the anti-codon, which is responsible for specific mRNA codon recognition, and the 3' end, to which the tRNAs corresponding amino acid is attached (by aminoacyl-tRNA synthetases). tRNAs cope with the degeneracy of the genetic code in two manners: having more than one tRNA (with a specific anti-codon) for a particular amino acid; and 'wobble' base-pairing, i.e. permitting non-standard base-pairing at the 3rd anti-codon position. Lineage: Bacteria; Bacillati; Actinomycetota; Actinomycetes; Bifidobacteriales; Bifidobacteriaceae. The record is from RNAcentral.
GCUGAUAUGCCGAAGUGGGAACGGAGGAGUCUGCAAAACUUUCUAUGAGUAGGUUCGAUUCCUACUAUCAGCU